Molecule: long non-coding RNA, 1046 nt
Filed under: Helianthus annuus (common sunflower)
Lineage: Eukaryota; Viridiplantae; Streptophyta; Magnoliopsida; Asterales; Asteraceae
Description: sRNA HanXRQr2_Chr17g0788341
Source: RNAcentral
UCGAUGGCGGUUUUGGGGCACCGUCUACGGCGGCGGCGCAAAGGUCUAGAAAGGCAUCGUGAUUAUGUUAUAUUGUGAAAAACCUAGGGUUACAUUAUCAUUUUGAGCUGCAUAAAGGUUUUGGGUGAUAUUUAUUCUAUUUCCUCGAUGUGAAUUGAAGUUAUAAUUUCAUUAAGGAUUUGGAGAGUCAGCCGGCGCCUCGGGUGAUAGCGGCUUUCGAUAGUGAUUCCGGUAACGAUAGAAUUUCUACAGAAAGGGUGUGGGUUCGAGUCCUCUUUUGGCUUUUUUUAUCCCGUAUUUAUUUGUGCGACACGUGUUACGAUGCGAGAGAGAGGGGGCAGCACCGGCCGUUUUCACUAUACAGGACUAAAGUUGAAAGUAAAAAAAAGUUGUGAGAGUAGAUCGUAAAAGAUAAAAAGGGGGAUAACUUUUUAGCACUCACUGGUAGGAGAGGUCUUGAAACAACGUCAUGUACAAUUGAAGAAAAUGAUUUGUAGAGUUUCUUUUAUUUAUUUUGAAUCAUAUGCACUAGAUUUGUCCGCUUUGUCAGACGCCUUUUAUCUCCAGUGAAGUAAUAAACCUACACUAUACUACAAAGUUUUGUGCUUCAUUACAACAAGUAGAUGGGAUAUUUGAAAUAAAGACAAAGUUCAUACAGGGAUUCCCUGUUUUUGGUUCUAAUGGAACUGUUUGAAAGCAAUGUAAUAAUAUAUAGUAAAGUAACCAUUAUAAGCUUUAAAAAGGUCCUUUUUUAUAUAUCCUAAAAAUUAACUUUUUUUUAUCUCAUCAUAUCAAUCUUUUAAUCAUCUCCCCAUUAAAUACUUCCUUUCUCAAAACGCAUUUUGACCAAUUUGGAUAACGGGUCAAAACAGGUUUGGAUUUUGGCAGCUCCAGUGGGCAUCGAAUACCUAAUGUGUUCAGGCCUUCAUCAAAGCUCAAAGCUGGUCAACGUGACUAUUUGGAAGUCGGUGAGUAUUUGGGAAGGCUAUGAAAACGAUUAAGAUAAAGAUGGCAAAAAGAGAAGAGACACAUCCAAGUUCUAUGAU